CCCCUCUCAGGGUUGCACCUGGAGAGUUUCUGGUACUCUACCAGUCUUGAUUAUGGGAGGGAGAGUCACGCUUUGGCACACACACCCAUUCCAUUCCUAGCUUGGACAGCGGCUAGCGAGUGGAAGGCAAUCUGCUAUAAGU
Small nucleolar RNA from Tachyglossus aculeatus (Australian echidna), 142 nucleotides. NCBI's taxonomy places the organism in Eukaryota, Metazoa, Chordata, Mammalia, Monotremata, Tachyglossidae. The record is from RefSeq and is a predicted model, not a curated record.